AACGAACGCUGGCGGCAUGCCUAACGCAUGCAAGUCGAACGAGACCUUCGGGUCUAGUGGCGCACGGGUGCGUAACGCGUGGGAACCUGCCCUUAGGUUCGGAAUAACUCCCCGAAAGGGGUGCUAAUACCGGAUAAUGUCUUCGGACCAAAGAUUUAUCGCCUUUGGAUGGGCCCGCGUUGGAUUAGCUAGUUGGUAGGGUAAAAGCCUACCAAGGCGACGAUCCAUAGCUGGUCUGAGAGGAUGAUCAGCCACACUGGGACUGAGACACGGCCCAGACUCCUACGGGAGGCAGCAGUGGAGAAUAUUGGACAAUGGGCGAAAGCCUGAUCCAGCAAUGCCGCGUGAGUGAUGAAGGCCUUAGGGUUGUAAAGCUCUUUUACCCGGGAUGAUAAUGACAGUACCGGGAGAAUAAGCUCCGGCUAACUCCGUG
This 433-nucleotide ribosomal RNA is filed under the name uncultured bacterium. RNAcentral's name for it is "partial 16S ribosomal RNA". It matches the Rfam family "Bacterial small subunit ribosomal RNA", at positions 29 to 507 of the family's 1533-position model. The record is from RNAcentral.